UCGCGAUAUUGGUACCUCG
Molecule: non-coding RNA, 19 nt
Filed under: Arabidopsis thaliana (thale cress)
Lineage: Eukaryota; Viridiplantae; Streptophyta; Magnoliopsida; Brassicales; Brassicaceae
Source: RNAcentral